GAACGCUGGCGGCAGGCCUAACACAUGCAAGUCGAACGGUAACAGGAAGCAGCUUGCUGCUUUGCUGACGAGUGGCGGACGGGUGAGUAAUGUCUGGGAAACUGCCUGAUGGAGGGGGAUAACUACUGGAAACGGUAGCUAAUACCGCAUAACGUCGCAAGACCAAAGAGGGGGACCUUCGGGCCUCUUGCCAUCAGAUGUGCCCAGAUGGGAUUAGCUUGUUGGUGGGGUAACGGCUCACCAAGGCGACGAUCCCUAGCUGGUCUGAGAGGAUGACCAGCCACACUGGAACUGAGACACGGUCCAGACUCCUACGGGAGGCAGCAGUGGGGAAUAUUGCACAAUGGGCGCAAGCCUGAUGCAGCCAUGCCGCGUGUAUGAAGAAGGCCUUCGGGUUGUAAAGUACUUUCAGCGGGGAGGAAGGUGUUGUGGUUAAUAACCACAGCAAUUGACGUUACCCGCAGAAGAAGCACCGGCUAACUCCGUGCCAGCAGCCGCGGUAAUACGGAGGGUGCAAGCGUUAAUCGGAAUUACUGGGCGUAAAGCGCACGCAGGCGGUCUGUUAAGUCAGAUGUGAAAUCCCCGGGCUCAACCUGGGAACUGCAUCUGAUACUGGCAGGCUUGAGUCUCGUAGAGGGGGGUAGAAUUCCAGGUGUAGCGGUGAAAUGCGUAGAGAUCUGGAGGAAUACCGGUGGCGAAGGCGGCCCCCUGGACGAAGACUGACGCUCAGGUGCGAAAGCGUGGGGAGCAAACAGGAUUAGAUACCCUGGUAGUCCACGCCGUAAACGAUGUCGACUUGGAGGUUGUGCCCUUGAGGCGUGGCUUCCGGAGCUAACGCGUUAAGUCGACCGCCUGGGAGUACGGCCGCAAGGUUAAACUCAAAUGAAUUGACGGGGGCCCGCACAAGCGGUGGAGCAUGUGGUUUAAUUCGAUGCAACGCGAAGAACCUUACCUGGUCUUGACAUCCACGGAAGUUUUCAGAGAUGAGAAUGUGCCUUCGGGAACCGUGAGACAGGUGCUGCAUGGCUGUCGUCAGCUCGUGUUGUGAAAUGUUGGGUUAAGUCCCGCAACGAGCGCAACCCUUAUCCUUUGUUGCCAGCGGUNNGGCCGGGAACUCAAAGGAGACUGCCAGUGAUAAACUGGAGGAAGGUGGGGAUGACGUCAAGUCAUCAUGGCCCUUACGACCAGGGCUACACACGUGCUACAAUGGCAUAUACAAAGAGAAGCGACCUCGCGAGAGCAAGCGGACCUCAUAAAGUAUGUCGUAGUCCGGAUUGGAGUCUGCAACUCGACUCCAUGAAGUCGGAAUCGCUAGUAAUCGUGGAUCAGAAUGCCACGGUGAAUACGUUCCCGGGCCUUGUACACACCGCCCGUCACACCAUGGGAGUGGGUUGCAAAAGAAGUAGGUAGCUUAACCUUCGGGAGGGCGCUUACCACUUUGUGAUUCAUGACUGGGGUG
This 1459-nucleotide ribosomal RNA is filed under the name Citrobacter koseri. RNAcentral's name for it is "16S ribosomal RNA". It matches the Rfam family "Bacterial small subunit ribosomal RNA". Lineage: Bacteria; Pseudomonadati; Pseudomonadota; Gammaproteobacteria; Enterobacterales; Enterobacteriaceae. The record is from RNAcentral.